CAAUAGCGUAUAUUAAAGUUGUUGCAGUUAAAAAGCUCGUAGUUGGAUUUCUGGUGGGAGCGAUCGGUCUGGCGCUUAGCGCGAGUACUUGCAUCGUCUCCGGCCAUCCUUGGGGAGAGUCUGUCUGGCAUUAAGUUGUCGGGCAGAGGAUCCUCAUCGUUUACUGUGAAAAAAUUAGAGUGUUCAAAGCAGGCUUAUGCCGUUGAAUAUAUUAGCAUGGAAUAAUAAGAUAGGACUUUGGUACUAUUUUGUUGGUUUGCGCACCAAAGUAAUGAUUAAUAGGGACAGUUGGGGGUAUUCGUAUUCCGUUGUCAGAGGUGAAAUACUUGGAUUUACGGAAGACGAACUACUGCGAAAGCAUUUACCAAGGAUGUUUNCAUUGA
RNAcentral lists this ribosomal RNA (383 nucleotides) under uncultured eukaryote. Its description in RNAcentral is "partial 18S ribosomal RNA". It matches the Rfam family "Eukaryotic small subunit ribosomal RNA", at positions 592 to 976 of the family's 1831-position model. The record is from RNAcentral.